UACGGGGGGGGCAAGCGUUGUUCGGAAUUACUGGGCGUAAAGGGUUCGUAGGUGGCCAACUAAGUCAGACGUGAAAUCCCUCAGCUUAACUGGGGAACUGCGUCUGAGACUGGAUGGCUUGAGUGCAGGAGAGGAACGCGGAAUUCCAGGUGUAGCGGUGAAAUGCGUAGAUAUCUGGAGGAACACCGGUGGCGAAGGCGGCGUUCUGGACUGCAACUGACACUGAGGAACGAAAGCGUGGGGAGCGAACGGG
RNAcentral lists this ribosomal RNA (253 nucleotides) under uncultured bacterium. RNAcentral describes it as "partial 16S ribosomal RNA". It matches the Rfam family "Bacterial small subunit ribosomal RNA", at positions 524 to 776 of the family's 1533-position model. The record is from RNAcentral.